UCGGGAAUUUUGCUCAAUGGGCGCAAGCCUGAAGCAGCAACGCCGCGUGAGGGAUGAAGGCCUUCGGGUUGUAAACCUCUUUUCUCAGGGACGAUAGUGACGGUACCUGAGGAAUAAGCCACGGCUAACUACGUGCCAGCAGCCGCGGUAAUACGUAGGUGGCAAGCGUUGUCCGGAUUUACUGGGCGUAAAGGGCGCGCAGGCGGUCGGAUAAGUCGAAUGUGAAAGCUCCCGGCUCAACUGGGAAGGGUCAUUCGAUACUGUUCGACUCGAAGAUAGGAGAGGGAUGCGGAAUUCCCGGUGUAGUGGUGAAAUGCGUAGAUAUCGGGAGGAACACCAGUGGCGAAGGCGGCAUUCUGGCCUAUUCUUGACGCUGAGGCGCGAAAGCUAGGGGAGCGAACGGG
RNAcentral lists this ribosomal RNA (404 nucleotides) under uncultured bacterium. RNAcentral's name for it is "bacterial SSU rRNA". It matches the Rfam family "Bacterial small subunit ribosomal RNA", at positions 355 to 776 of the family's 1533-position model. The record is from RNAcentral.